This 240-nucleotide unclassified non-coding RNA is filed under the name soil metagenome. Its description in RNAcentral is "partial contains 5.8S ribosomal RNA, internal transcribed spacer 2, and large subunit ribosomal RNA". The record is from RNAcentral.
AACAUCGCGCACCUGCGGGAACCUGCGGAAGGAUCAUUACAGAGUUGCAAAACUCCCUAAACCAUUGUGAACGUUACCUAAACCGUUGCUUCGGCGGGCGGCCCGGGUCCUUCCCAGCGCCCAUCGGCCCUCGCGGGCGCCCGCCGGAGGUAAACCAAACUAUUGCAUUGUAUGGCCUCUCUGAGUCUUCUGUACUGAAUAAGUCAAAACUUUUAACAAUGGAUCUCAGAUCGGAAGAGC